This 445-nucleotide ribosomal RNA is filed under the name uncultured bacterium. RNAcentral describes it as "bacterial SSU rRNA". It matches the Rfam family "Bacterial small subunit ribosomal RNA", at positions 338 to 795 of the family's 1533-position model. The record is from RNAcentral.
CCUACGGGAGGCAGCAGUGGGGAAUAUUGGACAAUGGGCGAAAGCCUGAUCCAGCAACGCCGCGUGAGGGAUGACGGCCUUCGGGUUGUAAACCUCUUUCAGUACCGACGAAGCGCAAGUGACGGUAGGUACAGAAGAAGCACCGGCCAACUACGUGCCAGCAGCCGCGGUAAUACGUAGGGUGCGAGCGUUGUCCGGAAUUAUUGGGCGUAAAGGGCUCGUAGGCGGUUUGUCGCGUCGGGAGUGAAAACUCAGGGCUUAACUCUGAGCCGGCUUCCGAUACGGGCAGACUAGAGGUAUGCAGGGGAGAACGGAAUUCCUGGUGUAGCGGUGAAAUGCGCAGAUAUCAGGAGGAACACCGGUGGCGAAGGCGGUUCUCUGGGCAUUACCUGACGCUGAGGAGCGAAAGUGUGGGGAGCGAACAGGAUUAGAUACCCUAGUAGUC